This 131-nucleotide small RNA is filed under the name Salmonella enterica subsp. enterica serovar Derby. RNAcentral describes it as "RtT sRNA". It matches the Rfam family "RtT RNA". From Rfam's summary of the family: This family represents a bacterial cis-regulatory element known as RtT RNA. The exact function of RtT is unknown although it is thought that it may be involved in changing the cellular response in relation to amino acid starvation. The record is from RNAcentral. Lineage: Bacteria; Pseudomonadati; Pseudomonadota; Gammaproteobacteria; Enterobacterales; Enterobacteriaceae.
UAUCUCUCCGUACGGGGAAGGAUGAGAAGCUUCGACUAAGGUUCGAUUCGAGCGCAGCGAGAAAGCGUUGCCGCAGGCAACGACCCGAAGGGCGAAGCGCGCAGCGCUGAGUCAUCCUUCCCCCACAACCA